AACACCAAUGUCCCCUUUGAGAGAUUUAAGAAUUUCCACUUGUCUGCAGGGACCUUUGAGAUGAGAUGCAAGGUGAUCCAGGAGCUCAAAGUACAUCACCACUGUAAUUGAAAGAGCCCUUGAGGACUUUGGCCACAAAGGGACACAGAUGCUGCUUAGUAUGACAAGAUCUCCCACCUUGAAGCAGAACGGAAGGGACCCUGACUGCAGGACCGAAUGACUCAGAAGACUGCUGAGCUUCUAAGCUUCCAGGGGAACGUGAAGCCUUUCAUCUUCAGCGGUCUGGUUAAAGUUGAAGGUCUUGCACAUGGUGCCAGGAGAGACCAGGCAGAGUGUGACCCUGAGGGAGAGUCAGGUGGCACGUCUAGAGCCAGCUCUAACUUUUGGAUUGUACUCCAUGGAUCUCUGAAUUCAGGAUCUUUUUUCAAGGAGGAACUGUGAAGGGACUUUACACAGACAGUGAAGUGAAUCAUGUAUGUUCCUGACCAACCAGCAGAAAGACCCAUUUGUUAUUUGGCCAAGUGAUCUACAGAAAGGAGAAUGAGGUCUUCCUUGGAAAGCCUGCUCUAGAAAUCUCAACUUCUCCAAAAUUAGCCUGAUCUAUUGGCAGAGCUACUAUGUGCUGGAUGGCUGGCUGGACUGGAGUCAGUACAGGCUGCCUAUUUCCUAGAUCCUGGGCAUGGGAGUGGGAGACUGCAUGUUAGCCUGUAUCCCUUCUAGGGUCUUAUGAAAUAGAAAUGCUCUCAGUAGAAGGAACCAACGCUGAGAUCCCGCUGCCCUCUACAUUGAACUCCUAGGAGACAGGGGUUAAAGGCAAUGAUUUUCCACAUUGUGUGGAUGUGUGCCUGUGUGAUAUCUCCUCUUCAGCUGAUGCAGAGUUUACAAUGGCAAGAAAACUCUCUUCUUUCAGGUGCUGUGAAAGAAAGGAAAGAGAGCAAAAAGCAAUCACUCCAAAGAAUGUUUAGUGCAAAGCAGGUGCAUUCAGGAAACUUUUUGAGGUAGAACUCAGGAGAAGGAUGACUUGUUUGUUGAAGCUAUUGGCUCAGUCUUUUGGGGCCAGAAUCUCCAGUGGAACAUUAUGCAGUCCUGGAAUUGCACACAUUUUAUGUUUAGACUUGGGUCCCGUUCCCAAGAUAGCUCAGGUAUAUGCAGAUAUUCCAAAAUCUGAAAAAAAAUCUGAAAUCUAAAACACUUCUGGCCCCAAGCAUUUCAAAUAAGGGAUAUUACCCUGUGUUAUACUCUCUAGAUCUGCACAGCAUUUGUAAGAGGUAAUGAAUAACUUUUUGUAAGAUUAUUUGUUUACUAUCUCCCUCUGACUGUAAUGUUACACAGAUUUAUCCCUACUGCCUGCUAUGAGUGCCAGGGUUGAAUAGA
Molecule: long non-coding RNA, 1374 nt
Filed under: Castor canadensis (American beaver)
Lineage: Eukaryota; Metazoa; Chordata; Mammalia; Rodentia; Castoridae
Description: lncRNA (ENSCCNG00000031724.1)
Source: RNAcentral